This 451-nucleotide ribosomal RNA is filed under the name uncultured bacterium. RNAcentral describes it as "partial 16S ribosomal RNA". It matches the Rfam family "Bacterial small subunit ribosomal RNA", at positions 29 to 523 of the family's 1533-position model. The record is from RNAcentral.
AGCGGACGCUGGCGGCAGGCCUAACACAUGCAAGUCGAGCGGACGUCGCAAGACGUCAGCGGCAGACGGGAGAGAAACACGUGGGCACGUACCCUUCGGUUCGGAAUAACCCAGGGAAAGUUGGGCUAAUCCCGGAUACGUCCGUAAGGAGAAAGAUUUAUCGCCGAAGGAUCGGCCCGCGUCGGAUUAGCUAGUUGGUGGGGUAAUGGCCCACCAAGGCGACGAUCGGUAGCUGGUCUGAGAGGAUGAUCAGCCGCACUGGGACUGAGACACGGCCCAGACUCCUACGGGAGGCAGCAGUGGGGAAUAUUGGACAAUGGGCGCAAGCCUGAUCCAGCCAUGCCGCGUGGGUGAUGAAGGCCCUAGGGUUGUAAAGCCCUUUCGGCGGGGAAGAUAAUGACGGUACCCGCAGAAGAAGCCCCGGCUAACUUCGUGCCAGCAGCCGCCGUAA